GAUGAACGCUGGCGGCGUGCCUAAUACAUGCAAGUCGAGCGAACAGAUGAGGAGCUUGCUCCUCUGACGUUAGCGGCGGACGGGUGAGUAACACGUGGAUAACCUACCUAUAAGACUGGGAUAACUUCGGGAAACCGGAGCUAAUACCGGAUAAUAUAUUGAACCGCAUGGUUCAAUAGUGAAAGACGGUUUUGCUGUCACUUAUAGAUGGAUCCGCGCCGCAUUAGCUAGUUUGUAAGGUAACGGCUUACCAAGGCAACGAUGCGUAGCCGACCUGAGAGGGUGAUCGGCCACACUGGAACUGAGACACGGUCCAGACUCCUACGGGAGGAAGCAGUAGGGAAUCUUCCGCAAUGGGCGAAAGCUUGACGGAGCAACGCCGCGUGAGUGAUGAAGGUCUUCGGAUCGUAAAACUCUGUUAUUAGGGAAGAACAAAUGUGUAAGUAACUAUGCACGUCUUGACGGUACCUAAUCAGAAAGCCACGGCUAACUACGUG
This 497-nucleotide ribosomal RNA is filed under the name uncultured bacterium. RNAcentral describes it as "partial 16S ribosomal RNA". It matches the Rfam family "Bacterial small subunit ribosomal RNA", at positions 28 to 507 of the family's 1533-position model. The record is from RNAcentral.